Molecule: unclassified non-coding RNA, 277 nt
Filed under: Haliotis rufescens (red abalone)
Lineage: Eukaryota; Metazoa; Mollusca; Gastropoda; Lepetellida; Haliotidae
Description: uncharacterized LOC124144594, transcript variant X4
Source: RNAcentral
UUUUGUCUGUAAACGACGCCAUUGUUGUUUUAGCAUCACUGUUGCAAACUUCAAGUCUCCGCUCUUAUUUUGCGAUUUGUUACACACUUCACGCAAGGUCAGCACCAUGUUCACGAGUGUGGCAAGCGUCUUUCAUCAAGCAUCUGAGUGGACACAUCCAGCACUAGUGUUUACCUCAGCAAGUAUUCAGCAUCUUCCUGCCGCACCAGGUCAUCCAUCACCACUCUUCCACAUCUCUUCGGCUUACAGUCUGAAACAUACCAGCCAUGGCAAUCAG